AUAUUUCGAAACAUGGUUUUUUGAUAAUAUUUUAAAAUUGGUUCUGCUCAAUGAUUAAUAAUUAAAUAGCUGCAGUAUUUUAACUGUACAAAGGUAGCAUAAUCAUUUGUUUUUUAAUUGAAAGCUUGUAUGAAAGAAUUGAUAAAAUAUAAAUUUUAUUUUGAUUAUAAAUUUAAUUUAUUUUUUAAAUUAAAAAAUUUAAUUUGAUUAUUAAGACGAUAAGACCCUAUAAAAUUUUAUAUAAAUAAAUUUAUUUAUAAGUUUAAAUUAAUUAUAUUUAUUUAUAUUUUAUUGGGGAGAUAAAUAAAUUUGUUUUACUUUAUUAUUAUUACUAUUCAAUAAUUGUUGUUUAUUAUUUUUUUAUUUUAUUUAGUUUAAAUUAAAUUACUUUAGGGAUAACAGAGUAAUAAUUUUGUAUAGAUCAUAUAAAUAGAAUUGUUUACGACCUCGUUUUGU
This 456-nucleotide ribosomal RNA is filed under the name Pseudisobrachium koreanum. RNAcentral describes it as "partial 16S ribosomal RNA". The record is from RNAcentral. Lineage: Eukaryota; Metazoa; Arthropoda; Insecta; Hymenoptera; Bethylidae.